AUCCUGGUCCGCAUCCCGCCGGACGAUCCCGCGACACUCGUGCGUGCCUCCCUUGUCUGCAACUCCGCCGCCGCCGUAUCUCACGACCCACCUGGUCGGCGAGAUCCUGGUCCGCAUCCCGCCGGACGAUCCCGCGACACUCGUGCGUGCCUCCCUUGUCUGCAAGCCCUGGCGCCGCCUGCUCUGCGACCGCGCCUUCCGCCGCCGCUACGGCGCCUUCCACCGAGCGCCGCCCCUUCUCGGCUACAUCCACAACCACAGCAUCAGCGGGCCUCGCUUCGUCUCCACCGCCACACCCUCUUCGGUGCCGCUGAAGGCGUUCGGCGGCUGCAGCAACAACGGCUGGCGCGUCAUCGACUGCCGCCAUGGCCGCGUCCUCUUUGAGGCCGUGGACCCCUACCGCAACUGGAGCCUGGAGGAACAUCCUCUGUUGGGUCCUGGACGUGAGCCCGAGCCUUGCCGUAUGGGAUAGCGGAACCUGCGAGAAGAAGCUGCUGCCGGAGGCCCCGUUCCCAGGAUGACAAUUCUUCAAUGCGGCGGUGCUCUGUGCUGCGCGCGGCUGUGACCACCUCGACUGCCGCGGUGGUCCAUUCCUCGUCGCCCUCGUGGGGUACAACGAUGUGGCGGGGGCCCUGCAGUCACACCUGUACUCAUCAGAGUCUGGCUACUGGUGGAGUUCGUCUUCUGCCCCUCCGGGCCCUCGUUUCUCUCCCGCCCGCACGCCGAGCGUGGUCAUCGGCGAUGGCAUGUAUUUAAUACUAUCAGCCACGCCGCCCGAAUUUGCAGUUCUGAACUUGGACGUGGCAGAAAACCACAUGUCCAUCAUCAAACCACCGAAUGCGCGUGACUUGGACGGGAAUGCUGUCCUCGUGGCGACGGGAGAUGGCUCGCUGGGUUUCGCCGCCAUUCUUGGUUCAAGGCUUCACCUGUGGACGAGGAAUUCAGAGGUUGUUGUCGGAGGAGGAUCAGUGUUUCAAAUAGCCCGCUAAUAGCGGCUAUUUAGCCGGCUAUAGCGUUUGAGGAGCUCUGAAGCUAGGAGAUGCCCAGUUUAACGCUAACCAAAGUUAGCCGCUAAUUACCUCAUUUAGCCCGCUAAACACAUAGACUUAGCUGAAUUUAGCGCAGCUAUUGGGCCAAAUGUUUGAGUGUGGAGGCCCAAAACUGCAACAGCCCGUGGGGUGUGGGGUGGGCACGCUCACUGUUGACCAGUUAUCUAACCCUAGCUUAUAUGAGCACAACCUUCGCACACGCCGCCGCCGUUGCGAGCAGCCAGUCCCUUUCCACACGCCACCACCGUUGUGAGUAGCUAGUCGCCGUUGUUGCUUCGCCCAGCCCCUUGCUUCACACCUCACGCGUCGCCCUGCAUCCUCCUGGCGUCCAGCCGUCCACCACCACCGCGGGCAGCAUCCAUAAUUCCAGAUCGGCUUCAGGUUUCAGCACGACCAUGCAUCAACAGCAGGUUGCCGUUGGAGCGCCAUCAAGACAUCAGCGAAGCCGUCGUCUCUAAGUAGCAAGCAAGCCCCUGCAUCUGACAGACGCACAAAAAUUUCCUCGCCAUGUCGGAAUCCCAGCAGCAGCAGCAAGGCAGAGGGAUUUGACAUCGUCUUUGUGACCUCGUUUGAUGAGGGUGUCUUCUCACUAGACCUCAAGUCUCUCCAACGGAGGGUGGUAGAUGAAGAUAAGGAAGGCGCCGCCGUCUUUCCCUGCGUGGCCUUCUACAAUCCAGGUAUUUUUUAGGGAACUUGUAUGCAUGACAGUUUCAGAUGGCGGUUGGGACUGGGGUCACCCCAGUCACUAGUGAGCGAGGCGAAGUAGCACCUGGGCACAAUAAGGCAUCUCUUUUAGCAUGGAUGAUGCUUAUUAGCAUUCAGUUGGGUAGUAGGCAUCUUAUUAGCUGGUUGAUUAUGACUGCAAAGGCUGUGUUCCCAGUUUUAUAAUAGUUGAUCUUUUGCGUUUAGUUAUUGUUAUAUUGAAGAUUUGCUACAACUCGACAUAGCACUGACUGAAAUGUGGAUCUAUGAUUUGGAAUAAAAUAUUCAGUUUUGGAA
Molecule: long non-coding RNA, 2048 nt
Organism: Zea mays
Lineage: Eukaryota; Viridiplantae; Streptophyta; Magnoliopsida; Poales; Poaceae
Exons: 2
Source: RefSeq, a predicted model, not a curated record